UUAUCAGUCAGGCUCCUGGCUAGAAUCCAGGUACCAUCUGGUACCUGAUCUAGCCAAAGCCUGACUGUAAG
Cricetulus griseus (Chinese hamster) is the source of this 71-nucleotide non-coding RNA. The record is from Rfam. Lineage: Eukaryota; Metazoa; Chordata; Mammalia; Rodentia; Cricetidae.